AUUUGCCAAUCAUGUUGACACCAUCCACUUGGGCUUGGUUUACUGGUCUCCCCGAGUACACUAUCAACAGCUAGGCCAAGUUGAAGGCCUAGUA
RNAcentral lists this small nucleolar RNA (94 nucleotides) under Oryza punctata. Its description in RNAcentral is "snoRNA snoZ256". It matches the Rfam family "Small nucleolar RNA Z256". From Rfam's summary of the family: Z256 is a member of the C/D class of snoRNA which contain the C (UGAUGA) and D (CUGA) box motifs. Most of the members of the box C/D family function in directing site-specific 2'-O-methylation of substrate RNAs. The record is from Rfam by way of RNAcentral. Lineage: Eukaryota; Viridiplantae; Streptophyta; Magnoliopsida; Poales; Poaceae.